AGUGAACGCUGGCGGUAGGCCUAACACAUGCAAGUCGAACGGCAGCACAGUAAGAGCUUGCUCUUACGGGUGGCGAGUGGCGGACGGGUGAGGAGUACAUCGGACUCUACUUUUUCGUGGGGGAUAACGUAGGGAAACUUACGCUAAUACCGCAUACGACCUACGGGUGAAAGCAGGGGAUCUUCGGACCUUGCGCGAUUGAAUGAGCCGAUGUCGGAGUAGCUAGUUGGCGGGGUAAAGGCCCACCAAGGCGACGAUCCGUAGCUGGUCUGAGAGGAUGAUCGGCCACAUUGGAACUGGGACAGGGUCCAGACGCCUACGGGAGGCAGCAGUGGGGAAUAUUGGACAAUGGGCGCAAGCCUGAUCCAGCCAUACCGCGUGGGUGAAGAAGGCCUUCGGGGUGUAAAGCCCUUUUGUUGGGAAAGAAAAGCAGCAGGUUAAUACCCCGCGGUUCUGACGGUACCCAAAGAAUAAGCACCGGCUAACUUCGUG
This 492-nucleotide ribosomal RNA is filed under the name uncultured bacterium. RNAcentral's name for it is "partial 16S ribosomal RNA". It matches the Rfam family "Bacterial small subunit ribosomal RNA", at positions 29 to 507 of the family's 1533-position model. The record is from RNAcentral.